CGGCGGACGGGUGAGUAAUGCCUAGGAAUCUGCCUGGUAGUGGGGGACAACGUUUCGAAAGGAACGCUAAUACCGCAUACGUCCUACGGGAGAAAGCAGGGACCUUCGGGCCUUGCGCUAUCAGAUGAGCCUAGGUCGGAUUAGCUAGUUGGUGGGGUAAUGGCUCACCAAGGCGACGAUCCGUAACUGGUCUGAGAGGAUGAUCAGUCACACUGGAACUGAGACACGGUCCAGACUCCUACGGGAGGCAGCAGCA
This 256-nucleotide ribosomal RNA is filed under the name uncultured Pseudomonas sp. RNAcentral's name for it is "partial 16S ribosomal RNA". It matches the Rfam family "Bacterial small subunit ribosomal RNA", at positions 96 to 355 of the family's 1533-position model. Lineage: Bacteria; Pseudomonadati; Pseudomonadota; Gammaproteobacteria; Pseudomonadales; Pseudomonadaceae. The record is from RNAcentral.